AUUGAACGCUGGCGGCAGGCCUAACACAUGCAAGUCGAGCGGAUGAAGGGAGCUUGCUCCUGGAUUCAGCGGCGGACGGGUGAGUAAUGCCUAGGAAUCUGCCUGGUCGUGGGGGAUAACGUCCGGAAACGGGCGCUAAUACCGCAUACGUCCUGAGGGAGAAAGUGGGGGAUCUUCGGACCUCACGCUAUCAGAUGAGCCUAGGUCGGAUUAGCUAGUUGGUGGGGUAAAGGCCUACCAAGGCGACGAUCCGUAACUGGUCUGAGAGGAUGAUCAGUCACACUGGAACUGAGACACGGUCCAGACUCCUACGGGAGGCAGCAGUGGGGAAUAUUGGACAAUGGGCGAGAGCCUGAUCCAGCCAUGCCGCGUGUGUGAAGAAGGUCUUCGGAUUGGAAAGCACUUUAAGUUGGGAGGAAGGGCAGUAAGUUAAUACCUUGCUGUUUUGACGGUACCAACAGAAUAAGCACCGGCUAACUUCGUG
RNAcentral lists this ribosomal RNA (484 nucleotides) under uncultured bacterium. RNAcentral describes it as "partial 16S ribosomal RNA". It matches the Rfam family "Bacterial small subunit ribosomal RNA", at positions 30 to 507 of the family's 1533-position model. The record is from RNAcentral.